GGCUCAGGAUAAACGCUGGCGGCGUGCUUAACACAUGCAAGUCGAACGGAGUGGUCCUCCCGAAGACCUGAUGAGCUUGCUCUGAUGGAAUUCAUUUGGAUCACUUAGUGGCGGACGGGUGAGUAACGCGUGGGAAACCUGCCCUAUACUGGGGGAUAGCAGUUGGAAACGACUGAUAAUACCGCAUAAGCGCACAGCACCGCAUGGUGCAGUGUGAAAAACUCCGGUGGUAUAGGAUGGUCCCGCGUCUGAUUAGCUAGUUGGUGAGGUAACGGCCCACCAAGGCGACGAUCAGUAGCCGGCCUGAGAGGGUGUACGGCCACAUUGGGACUGAGACACGGCCCAAACUCCUACGGGAGGCAGCAGUGGGGAAUAUUGGACAAUGGGGGAAACCCUGAUCCAGCCGACGCCGCGUGAGUGAAGAAGUAUCUCGGUAUGUAAAGCUCUAUCAGCAGGGAAGAUAAUGACGGUACCUGACUAAGAAGCACCGGCUAAAUACGUGCCAGCCGCCGC
This 513-nucleotide ribosomal RNA is filed under the name uncultured bacterium. RNAcentral describes it as "bacterial SSU rRNA". It matches the Rfam family "Bacterial small subunit ribosomal RNA", at positions 21 to 518 of the family's 1533-position model. The record is from RNAcentral.